UAGUCCACGCCGUAAACGAUGUUAACUCGCUGUUGGCGAUAUACUGUCAGCGGCCAAGCGAAAGCGUUAAGUUAACCACCUGGGGAGUACGCCCGCAAGGGUGAAACUCAAAGGAAUUGACGGGGGCCCGCACAAGCGGAGGAGCAUGUGGUUUAAUUCGAUGAUACGCGAGGAACCUUACCUGGACUUAAAUGUAGAUUGCAUAGAGUGGAGACAUUCUUUUCUUCGGACUAUUUACAAGGUGCUGCAUGGUUGUCGUCAGCUCGUGCCGUGAGGUGUCGGGUUAAGUCCCAUAACGAGCGCAACCCUUAUCCUUAGUUGCCAGCGGGUCAUGCCGGGGACUCUGAGGAGACUGCCACCGUAAGGUGUGAGGAAGGUGGGGAUGACGUCAAAUCAGCACGGCCCUUAUGUCCAGGGCUACACACGUGUUACAAUGGACGGUACAAAGGGCAGCUACCUGGUGACAGGAUGCUAAUCUCUAAAGCCGUUCUCAGUUCGGA
RNAcentral lists this ribosomal RNA (500 nucleotides) under uncultured bacterium. Its description in RNAcentral is "bacterial SSU rRNA". It matches the Rfam family "Bacterial small subunit ribosomal RNA", at positions 791 to 1297 of the family's 1533-position model. The record is from RNAcentral.